AUUGAACGCUGGCGGCAGGCCUAACACAUGCAAGUCGAGCGGAUGAAGGGAGCUUGCUCCUGGAUUCAGCGGCGGACGGGUGAGUAAUGCCUAGGAAUCUGCCUGGUAGUGGGGGAUAACGUCCGGAAACGGGCGCUAAUACCGCAUACGUCCUGAGGGAGAAAGUGGGGGAUCUUCGGACCUCACGCUAUCAGAUGAGCCUAGGUCGGAUUAGCUAGUUGGUGGGGUAAAGGCCUACCAAGGCGACGAUCCGUAACUGGUCUGAGAGGAUGAUCAGUCACACUGGAACGGAGACCCGGUCCAGACCCCUACGGGAGGCAGCAGGGGGGAAUAUUGGACAAUGGGGGAAAGCCUGAUCCAGCCAUGCCGGGUGUGUGAAGAAGGUCUUCGGAUUGUAAAGCCUUUUAAGAUGGGGGGAAGGGCAGUAAGUUAAAACCUUGCUGUUUUGACGUUACCAACAAAAAAAGCCCCGGCUAACUUCGU
RNAcentral lists this ribosomal RNA (483 nucleotides) under uncultured bacterium. RNAcentral describes it as "partial 16S ribosomal RNA". It matches the Rfam family "Bacterial small subunit ribosomal RNA", at positions 30 to 506 of the family's 1533-position model. The record is from RNAcentral.